ACAGGUAGUACAACUGUGACAGCGAACAAAUUUUACAGUCUUGCCCUCGUGAAGCGCACGGUCGGUUGUGCUCCUAUACCGUAUUUCGCUUAUAUUCGAUCCAUUCGUACGUUUCGUAGACACCGCAGCAUCACCGUGAGCUGAUGUAUAGGUUAGGUUAGGUUAAAAACACUUUCACUUCCACUCUGUUAUUUACAUGUGCUUUUGACGUUUUAAACCCCCAUCGAAAACUCUUCAAUCUAAAAAUAACGGAUAGUUUAUUAUCAAAUAUGACAAGAGUAAUAGUUGAUCUGAACCAACUCUGCCCAUCUCACUAUUGUGAACAAUUGUUGUGUCAUUAUGUAAAAUAGAUAUUUGAAUAAAGAGUUCAAAUAAAGGGAAAAAAUCGAGAAUGGAUGAAGACGAUAUUUCUGUACGAGUCGGGGUCAGUUGUAUUAGGUUUCAGCACUGGAGACGUUUUGGAAGAGACCUGUUUUCAAGAAAAUAAGUCACGUAGUGUGGCAGUUUGUGGAGGCUUUUGCCAGUUAGGAAUAUUUUGGACGACCGGUGAUUUCAACUCGAGCUCCGUGAUAUCCAUUCUUAUUGGCGAGUUUGUAGAAAGAGGGGAGAUGUGCCACAUAGUGGAUGAUUUUUAGAUUGUUACAUCACGCGAAAGAUUUGGAUUUUUGAACAAUUCGUGCAAAAUAAUUAAAAAGUGUUGAUCACUGUUUCUUUAAGAAGUUUGUUCAUGCCAUUUAAGAUUAAGUGUAGAUUGUUGAUUCUCGAG
Leptinotarsa decemlineata (Colorado potato beetle) is the source of this 766-nucleotide long non-coding RNA. The record is from RefSeq and is a predicted model, not a curated record. Lineage: Eukaryota; Metazoa; Arthropoda; Insecta; Coleoptera; Chrysomelidae.